CAUGCAAGUCGAGCGGUAAGGCCCUUCGGGGUACACGAGCGGCGAACGGGUGAGUAACACGUGGGUGAUCUGCCUCGUACUCUGGGAUAAGCCUGGGAAACUGGGUCUAAUACCGGAUAUGACCACGAAUCGCAUGGUUUGUGGUGGAAAGAUUUAUCGGUGCGAGAUGGGCCCGCGGCCUAUCAGCUUGUUGGUGGGGUAAUGGCCUACCAAGGCGACGACGGGUAGCCGGCCUGAGAGGGCGACCGGCCACACUGGGACUGAGACACGGCCCAGACUCCUACGGGAGGCAGCAGUGGGGAAUAUUGCACAAUGGGCGGAAGCCUGAUGCAGCGACGCCGCGUGCGGGAUGACGGCCUUCGGGUUGUAAACCGCUUUCGACAGGGACGAAGCGUGAGUGACGGUACCUGUAGAAGAAGCACCGGCCAACUACGUGCCAGCAGCCGCGGUAAUACGUAGGGUGCGAGCGUUGUCCGGAAUUACUGGGCGUAAAGAGCUUGUAGGCGGUUUGUCGCGUCGUUCGUGAAAACUUGGGGCUCAACCCCAAGCUUGCGGGCGAUACGGGCAGACUAGAGUACUGCAGGGGAGACUGGAAUUCCUGGUGUAGCGGUGAAAUGCGCAGAUAUCAGGAGGAACACCGGUGGCGAAGGCGGGUCUCUGGGCAGUAACUGACGCUGAGAA
Molecule: ribosomal RNA, 681 nt
Filed under: Nocardia transvalensis
Lineage: Bacteria; Bacillati; Actinomycetota; Actinomycetes; Mycobacteriales; Nocardiaceae
Description: bacterial SSU rRNA
Rfam family: Bacterial small subunit ribosomal RNA
Source: RNAcentral